AGAUAAUGAUACUCUAGGGAAUGACACGUGGUCUGAAAUGGGAAAACACUCCGCCCGAGGAUUGAUGUCUUUGAGGAAAAUGACGCUAAAGGAACCAACUGAGAUCAUCCAUUAUCACCAACCAUCGAUAGCGAUACGUUCCGUGUCACCUUAUCUGGUCUAAAAACAUUUAGUAACCUAGUA
Actinia tenebrosa (Australian red waratah sea anemone) is the source of this 183-nucleotide long non-coding RNA. RefSeq lists it as uncharacterized. The record is from RefSeq and is a predicted model, not a curated record. NCBI's taxonomy places the organism in Eukaryota, Metazoa, Cnidaria, Anthozoa, Actiniaria, Actiniidae.